UUCAUUGGUUUUUAGAAGAGGUUUUUAUUUAUUUUUUGAAUGCUUCGUUUUAGUUGACCUUCUAUUUGCUUGACUUUCAGUUGUAGUUUUGUUUUGUUUUGUUUUUUUUUAAACUGUGGCCAAGCAUUCUGUAGUACUGUAAACUACAAUUAUUAGACUUUUAAAAUGAACCCGAAAGUUCACGUAGGAGAAAUCUGGAGGAUGUUUUGGCUAAAAUUAUAACGACCCAAAACACUACGAAAUAAACCCAACAAGUGUUUUUAUUUUAUUUUAUUUUUUAAUGUUAGACAAUGGCCAAGUCGAUGACCUAACAUGAACCUGAGCACAUCCCGUGCUGUUACGUUUCACGUCCCUUUUUGUGGUCUCUCCAGCCAAACAUGAAAAUUGUUUCCAUGUCACCAUAUUUCGACACCUGCCUAUAUUAGUGAACUAAUAUUUGGCGGAAAACUAUGACCAAACAUUGACUGAGUUGCAGUCUAAUUGUGACCUCUUGGUGUUGAUGCUUGUUUGUUUGUUUGUUUGGGGAUUUUGUCGAAAGCCUCGACGGAGUGUGACGGAAGUCAAGGAACAAGCAGUACGGCGGCCCGUGAGGCACAUAGGUGAUUGACUGUGGGAUAUUGGCGAGUCAUUAUGGCACAAUGCGGUUUUUUUGGGCUAACUCGGCUGCCGUGGGCGCCGGAAACAAAGCCCAAUAAUGACUUGUUUUGACGCUGUCUCGAAAAGUUUUGGCAUUCCAUUUAUUUGGAGCUUUUACUCUGCCGCGCAUGCGCAAAACACAACCGGUACUUCUUGAGACGAGUGGGAAAAACCCCCCAAAACAAACAUUAAAAAAUGUCGCUACGGUAACCCAGAGCUCACCCACUGCUUCGACAGCAGAUGCGCAUUAGUCAUAAUAUGAUCAACAUGCGGAAUGCAGGAAGUUUGAAGAGAAGUUAUGCAAGCUUUUGGGAUGGCUGAACUAUUACGAAGCGGGACCUUUACUUUGGAGCCGUCUUUGAUUCGCAUUGCGACUUCUUUUCAAGCAUGCACUUCAGAUACAGACUCGAAACUACAAUUCGUCCCCACGACAGAACAUACAAAAACGUGAACUUGGAAUCAAAGAGCUCGACGACGUUCCGGAGACACGAUGGACAAAAUAAGCACAGCGUUGGGCGACCGUGACUUUCACAGG
Molecule: long non-coding RNA, 1171 nt
Organism: Hippocampus comes (tiger tail seahorse)
Lineage: Eukaryota; Metazoa; Chordata; Actinopteri; Syngnathiformes; Syngnathidae
Exons: 2
Source: RefSeq, a predicted model, not a curated record